Molecule: non-coding RNA, 27 nt
Filed under: Mus musculus (house mouse)
Lineage: Eukaryota; Metazoa; Chordata; Mammalia; Rodentia; Muridae
Source: RNAcentral
UCUAAGAAUCUUGACCUCUGAUUAGAC